UUGCUGGGUGGAUUAGUGGCGAACGGGUGAGUAACACGUGAGUAACCUGCCCCUGACUCUGGGAUAAGCGUUGGAAACGACGUCUAAUACUGGAUAUGAUCACUGGCCGCAUGGUCUGGUGGUGGAAAGAUUUUUUGGUUGGGGAUGGACUCGCGGCCUAUCAGCUUGUUGGUGAGGUAAUGGCUCACCAAGGCGACGACGGGUAGCCGGCCUGAGAGGGUGACCGGCCACACUGGGACUGAGACACGGCCCAGACUCCUACGGGAGGCAGCAGUGGGGAAUAUUGCACAAUGGGCGAAAGCCUGAUGCAGCAACGCCGCGUGAGGGAUGACGGCCUUCGGGUUGUAAACCUCUUUUAGUAGGGAAGAAGCGAAAGUGACGGUACCUGCAGAAAAAGCACCGGCUAACUACGUGCCAGCAGCCGCGGUAAUACGUAGGGUGCAAGCGUUGUCCGGAAUUAUUGGGCGUAAAGAGCUCGUAGGCGGUUUGUCGCGUCUGCUGUGAAAUCCCGAGGCUCAACCUCGGGCUUGCAGUGGGUACGGGCAGACUAGAGUGCGGUAGGGGAGAUUGGAAUUCCUGGUGUAGCGGUGGAAUGCGCAGAUAUCAGGAGGAACACCGAUGGCGAAGGCAGAUCUCUGGGCCGUAACUGACGCUGAGGAGCGAAAGCAUGGGGAGCGAACAGGAUUAGAUACCCUGGUAGUCCAUGCCGUAAACGUUGGGCGCUAGAUGUAGGGACCUUUCCACGGUUUCUGUGUCGUAGCUAACGCAUUAAGCGCCCCGCCUGGGGAGUACGGCCGCAAGGCUAAAACUCAAAGGAAUUGACGGGGGNCCCGCACAAGCGGCGGAGCAUGCGGAUUAAUUCGAUGCAACGCGAAGAACCUUACCAAGGNCUUGACAUACACCGGAAACGGCCAGAGAUGGUCGCCCCCUUGUGGUCGGUGUACAGGUGGUGCAUGGUUGUCGUCAGCUCGUGUCGUGAGAUGUUGGGUUAAGUCCCGCAACGAGCGCAACCCUCGUUCUAUGUUGCCAGCGGGUUAUGCCGGGGACUCAUAGGAGACUGCCGGGGUCAACUCGGAGGAAGGUGGGGAUGACGUCAAAUCAUCAUGCCCCUUAUGUCUUGGGCUUCACGCAUGCUACAAUGGCCGGUACAAAGGGCUGCGAUACCGUAAGGUGGAGCGAAUCCCAAAAAGCCGGUCUCAGUUCGGAUUGAGGUCUGCAACUCGACCUCAUGAAGUCGGAGUCGCUAGUAAUCGCAGAUCAGCAACGCUGCGGUGAAUACGUUCCCGGGCCUUGUACACACCGCCCGUCAAGUCAUGAAAGUCGGUAACACCCGAAGCCGG
RNAcentral lists this ribosomal RNA (1340 nucleotides) under Curtobacterium flaccumfaciens. Its description in RNAcentral is "bacterial SSU rRNA". It matches the Rfam family "Bacterial small subunit ribosomal RNA", at positions 80 to 1430 of the family's 1533-position model. The record is from RNAcentral. Lineage: Bacteria; Bacillati; Actinomycetota; Actinomycetes; Micrococcales; Microbacteriaceae.